CCUACGGGAGGCUGCAGUGGGGGAUAUUGCACAAUGGGGGCAACCCUGAUGCAGCGACGCCGCGUGGGCGAAGAAGUCUUUCGGUAUGUAAAGCUCUAUUAGUAGGGAAGAAGAAACGACGGUACCUGUGUAAGAAGCACCGGCUAACUACGUGCCAGCAGCCGCGGUAAUACGUAGGGUGCAAGCGUUAUCCGGAUUUACUGGGUGUAAAGGGAGCGCAGGCGGUACGGCAAGCCUGAUGUGAAAGCCCGCGGCCCAACCGCGGAACUGCCUUGGGAACUGUCGGGCUAGAGAGCGGGAGAGGUAGGCGGAAUGCAUGGUGUAGCGGUGAAAUGCGUAGAGAUUAGGCAGAACACCAGUGGCGAAGGCAGCCUACUGGACGGUGACUGACGCUGAGGCUCGAAAGCGUGGGGAGCAAACAGGAUUAGAUACCCCUGUAGUC
This 442-nucleotide ribosomal RNA is filed under the name uncultured bacterium. RNAcentral's name for it is "partial 16S ribosomal RNA". It matches the Rfam family "Bacterial small subunit ribosomal RNA", at positions 338 to 795 of the family's 1533-position model. The record is from RNAcentral.